This is a long non-coding RNA of Chinchilla lanigera (long-tailed chinchilla), 3102 nucleotides long. RefSeq lists it as uncharacterized. The record is from RefSeq and is a predicted model, not a curated record. Lineage: Eukaryota; Metazoa; Chordata; Mammalia; Rodentia; Chinchillidae. The transcript has 4 exons.
GGACGCAGAGGCAGUUUUUGGCAUCCAAAUGUGCGCCAUGGGACUUUUUGGGAGUCAUAACUCUCGGACAAACGGCAUGUCUUCCUGGCAAACUCAACUCCCAGGCGGCCCAGGUCGCGCGGACGUCGGAAGCUGCGCGCUCAGACGGGUCCCAGCGCGAGGCAAGUGCUUGGUAAAUACUUCUGAAAGAGCACACGCAUGCAAAUGUGCUUCGGCUGGCGUGAAGCAGGACUUGUCGAAUAGGUGUGUAUGUGAGCAGUGUACCUUGUGUGUUUAGUCGGUCCGCACAAUAAAUCGUCAAGUCUGUAAUACAGAUUACGGGGUGUAGGGGAGCUUUUAGGAAGAUGGGCUGGUGACUGCUAUUUAAGGACAGCUGUCACCACUUAACAGUGACCUGAGCACUGCCAGGCAUUUAGCAAGUCUUGAUAGACUUUCAUUUGAUUUUACUGCGCACUGGCCCCACCGGCCCAGAGGGAUGGGUUACUCUGCUGGGUCAGAACCUGAUGCAGAGAGGGACGUGGUCCUUUACCUGAGGUGGGAGAGCCCAAGGGGAGGCUUUAGGGAGAUCACCCUGCUAGGAGGCAGCUGAGGAAUGUGGUCUUCUCAGAUUUAGAGGUUUGCAGUCCUUCCCUCAGGCCUUACUUCUCACUCAUAAAGUAGGUCUCUAGAAGCUGCCUGAGCUCUAAGUGUGUCAGGGUCAAGAUCUGGAAGGUGUGGAAAGGGCCAGCUCACACCUGCUCCCUGCCCCUUAUACUUUCUUCUGCUGUCACUGUUUGCCCAGUCUUGAGGCCUUGGACCCCAGGGCCCCUGCCCUGCCCAGUUUAGAUUUGCUACCACCCAGGCUGGGCUAGGAGAGAAUUCCUGGGGAAUUUCCAGAGCUUGGAGACAGAAGUGCUGCUCAAAAAAGUAACCCAGCAAAGGCCAAACUAACACCCUCCAACCCUUUCCUAGAGACCACUCCCCUCUCCCUUUAAACAGAAGACAGCCAUGCCCCAAAGACAGAGCCUUGAAAGUUAUCCCCUCUCCCCAAGGAACACAUUAGGAUAGGACUGAAGUAUGAGAUGGGAAUUUUAUUGACUCUGUUUAAAAACUGUGAUCUCACCUAAUUUUGCAGCAGCCUCUUCGGCAUUCAGAGGGAGGCACUGAUGUGUGCACUUCCCUCUGCUGCCCACUGGAUCCCAAGUUCCUGGGGCAUCCGUGGCUUUGUCCUACACCUCCAUUCUCCUGCCUACCCUCACCAUGCCCCCAGGAGACACUGUGUCUACUGGAUGCUGUGACUGAUGCUGUGUUUCCCUAGCAGCCCCUCCCGUUACUCCAGUGGACAGAUCAGAGUGGCUAUGGAUCUGGUGGCAGCUUGAGGCUGGGUGCAUGUGUGUCACUUGGCAGUGGGGGAACCUUCCAUAGGAGAAGGUAACUUGCAUGGAGGACGUAGACCCUCUCACCUCUGGGUAGUAGGGUGUGUGCUCCUCUGCCCACCAAAUGGACAGCCUGAGUUCCACGUCAAGGAGGGAGAGGACAAACGAUGUCCCCAUGGCCUCCAGGUUCAAGUCUGAGCCUUCCUGGCAACCUUAAAAAUCUCACCUCCUGUACUCACCGUUUCUCAGGACCUAGGGCACCCAGGGGCCCUGCUCUUAGCUGGAGGGUCCCUCUUGUCCCCUCACCCCCUCCCCUGCGCAUACUAGGCACUGGGAAGCCCCCUUCUGUCCCUGACCCACCAGACACCCAGUGGUUCCCUCACCUGUGUCAGAGUUCUCCACACCCAGCUGUGCCCGCAGUUGCUCUGCAUCCCUGCCCCAGGGCAGGGACCAGCCCUAGAAUGGCUUUGUAAAUCGAAGCGAGGGCUGGCAGUCAGAUGGUUGGUUACCUACAGAAUUUUUAGCCAGUAUUCACAUAUCACAAAAGGCACCGAUGACAAUAGAUUAAAGGUAUGAUGCCCCUUCCCUGUUAAUCCAGCUUCAGAAAUGCCCAGUGAGGCCCAAGGGUGCUCAUUCUGGCCUUGUGGGGGCAGGGUGUCAGCACCUCCUGCCACCCUGAAUCAAAAGGCUGUUCAAUAACGUGCGACGCUUGGUCCCCUGCUGGACAGCCCGCUGGCUCCUAUCCGGUUUCCCCAGGAGGGACCCCAGGGAGCGGCUGUGCUGCCGAACCAGGACCGGGAAAGGGGCCGGAGACAAGCUCAGGCUGCUGCACUCCAGCUUCGGACGCUCCAGGCCGCCGCACGAAGGAAGAGGAGCGCGAGGCGGGCGAGACGAGGGCGCAGCUUGGCACCCGGGCACAGCUGUCCGGUGCUCGGCGCCCUCGCCCAGCUCGGCCUCAACGCGCAGGCGGCGGGGAAUCCACAAGCCGCAACUCGACUCCGAAACACAUCUCCCAGCCUGAGCCCCGACUGCGCGCUGGGAAGCUGGGACGCCACUGUCACCGUGACCAGGCUGUCAGCCGUGAGCCUCCGGCGGCCGCCCAGCAGAGCCAGCGCAAGUGGCCCAAGCGGUGCCCAGUUGUGAAUUUGGAGAGGGCCUGGGCGCUUCUGCUGCACCUCCGUCCUCCUUCCUUUCUCCCUCUCCUGCUGUCUUGCUCUCGCUGUGUCAGUCUCUUCCCCUCCCUUCUUUAUUCUCAUUCUCCACCAACACCUUUGCCUGAAUCGUAUUUUUAUUUUCCCUGUUAUCAAUAUGUUCUUUGCCCAGCCACUAAGAGCCAGAAAGUAGGAAGUCUCAGGUCAGCCCAGACGCCGUGAAAGAGCCUACGUCAUCCGCAGGCACAGUGGGGCCCAGAAGCCCUUCUCUAGAGAGGCUAGGACACUCAGUGCCUGGACAUGAGAGAUCCAAGAACAUUGAAUAAACUUCUCAAGGCCAUUCCCAGAAUGGCACUUUCAGCAGCUCCCUGAAACUUACAGGAACAAAGCUGAGGAGACUUAAGAUAGACAGAAGAGGAGAAGAUGCAGGCAGAGAAGGCCCUGCAAAGAGGGAGGCAGAAGCCAGAGCAACACAGCAGCCAGCCAAGGGAUGCCUUGGUCACCAGCGCCUGGAAGAGCAGGAAGUGAUGGAUGUUUCUGAGCACUUGUUACUUUCAACAUCUGUAAAAAGAAGACCUUCUACUUGGAAAAGUAAU